CAGAGCCGACGGGUUUCGAUCCCGCUACCUUCGCUGUGACAGAGCGAUGUUCUACCGAUUGAACUACGGCUCU
This 73-nucleotide transfer RNA is filed under the name Vibrio phage 1.081.O._10N.286.52.C2. RNAcentral's name for it is "tRNA-Asp". Lineage: Duplodnaviria; Heunggongvirae; Uroviricota; Caudoviricetes; Pantevenvirales; Straboviridae. The record is from RNAcentral.